CCUACGUGGGGCUGCAGUAAGGAAUAUUGGUCAAUGGACGCAAGUCUGAACCAGCCAUGCCGCGUGGAGGAUGAAGGUCCUCUGGAUUGUAAACUUCUUUUAUUUGGGAAGAAACUCCCGAUUUCCAUCGGGAUUGACGGUACCAGAUGAAUAAGCACCGGCUAACUCCGUGCCAGCAGCCGCGGUAAUACGGAGGGUGCAGGCGUACUGCGGAUAAACUGGGUUUAGGUGGUGAGGUAAGUCAGUGGUGAAAUCUCCGGGCUUAACCCGGAAACUGCCAUUGAUACUAUUUGUCUUGAAUACUCUGGAGGUGAGCGGAAUAUGUCAUGUAGCGGUGAAAUGCUUAGAUAUGACAUAGAACACCCAUUGCGAAGGCAGCUCACUACGGAAAUAUUGACGCUGAGGCACGAAAGCGUGGGGAUCAAACAGGAUUAGAUACCCGUGUAGUC
Molecule: ribosomal RNA, 449 nt
Filed under: uncultured bacterium
Lineage: Bacteria
Description: partial 16S ribosomal RNA
Rfam family: Bacterial small subunit ribosomal RNA
Source: RNAcentral